Molecule: small RNA, 736 nt
Filed under: Arabidopsis thaliana (thale cress)
Lineage: Eukaryota; Viridiplantae; Streptophyta; Magnoliopsida; Brassicales; Brassicaceae
Description: ATSL267690
Source: RNAcentral
GCCUUUGGCUUUGUGUCUUCUAACAAGGAAACACUACUUAGGCUUAUAAAAUCCGGUUGCGGUUUAAGUUCUUAUACUCAAUCAUACACAUGACAUCAAGUCAUAUUCGACUCCAAAACACUAACGAAGCUUCUCAAAGCUUUCAUGGUGUAGCCAAAGUCCGUAUGAGUCUUUAGCUUUGUAUCUUCUAACAAGGAAACAUUACUUAGGCCUUUAAGAACCGGUUGCGAUUUAAGUUCUUAUACUCAAUCAUACACAUGACAUCAAGUCAUAUUCGACUCCAAAACACUAACCAACCUUCUUCUUGCUUCUCAUAUCUUUCAUGGUGUAGCCAAAGUCCGUAUGAGUCUUUGGCUUUGUUGUUCUAAGAAGGAUACAAUUCUUACGCCUUUAAGAUCGGGUUGCGGUUUAAGUUCUUAUACUCAAUCAUACAAAUGACAUCAAGUCAUAUUCGACUCCAAAACACUAACCAACCUUCUUCUUGCUUCUCAAAGCUUUAAUGGUGUAGCCAAAGUCUGUAUGAGUCUUUGGCUUUGUGUCUUCUAACAAGGAUACAAUUCUUACGCCUUUAAGAUCCAGUUGCGGUUUAUGUUCUUAUACUCAAUCAUACACAUGACAUCAAGUCAUAUUCGACUCCAAAACACUAACCAAGCUUCUUCUAGCUUCUCAAAGCUUUCAUAGUGUAGCCAAAGUCCGUAUGAUUCUUUGGCUUUGUAUCUUCUAACAAGGAAACAUU